UAUAAUCUACUUCUCAUUAAUGGUGGCUUGAAAAGUGAAACUCCCUUCGUAUUGAGCAACUAGCAUUCUAGAGCAAUGUUGCAAGUCUUUCUUCUGGCUUUGUGUGAGUGCUCCCCCACCCCAUUUUCUGGAGAGCAUGGAGAUGAUUUGAGAAACAUUGUUGAAACAGCAAAAGUUUUUGACAGAUUUUGGUUUCAGGUAAUUGUAAACACAAAAUUCGUUACCGAUCCAUAGUGCAAAUGGCCUUUUUAUCCUUUUUAAUUCCUUGAACUCCAGUUUGUGUUAUACGGAUGAUACAAGAUCCUUUUAUCGACUUGUUCCAGUUCAUUUACUGCCAGUGGCUUGCAUGCAUCGCCAUUACCUGCUGUUAAAUCAAAGAUCUUGAUCCAGUACCAGUAGAAGCUGAUAAAAUCUCAAGGUCGGCACUCGAAAGUGGAAAAAAGAAAAAGAUGUGUUAACUGCUUUAUGUUGUUUUGAGUACGAUAUGGUCUGCAUCAUUUGAAAGAAAUUAUUGCGUCAUUGUUGGAUAGAAACAUCCACUGUUGCAUUUAACUUGUGAACUGCAACGACAUAGAACCUUUGUCUUUGUUUUUGUUUUCUUUUAAUUGUCAAUUCGUUGCAUUGAAUAAAGUUGCUUGCCUGCUCUAAGAACAUCCUUG
Molecule: long non-coding RNA, 659 nt
Filed under: Populus tremula
Lineage: Eukaryota; Viridiplantae; Streptophyta; Magnoliopsida; Malpighiales; Salicaceae
Description: long non-coding RNA (PTRE_LNC000179)
Source: RNAcentral